UAGGGAAUCUUCGGCAAUGGGGGCAACCCUGACCGAGCAACGCCGCGUGAGUGAAGAAGGUUUUCGGACCGUAAAGCUCUGUUGUAAGUCAAGAACGAGUGUGAGAGUGGAAAGUUCACACUGUGACGGUAGCUUACCAGAAAGGGACGGCUAACUACGUGCCAGCAGCCGCGGUAAUACGUAGGUCCCGAGCGUUGUCCGGAUUUAUUGGGCGUAAAGCGAGCGCAGGCGGUUUGAUAAGUCUGAAGUUAAAGGCUGUGGCUCAACCAUAGUUCGCUUUGGAAACUGUCAAACUUGAGUGCAGAAGGGGAGAGUGGAAUUCCAUGUGUAGCGGUGAAAUGCGUAGAUAUAUGGAGGAACACCGGUGGCGAAAGCGGCUCUCUGGCUUGUAACUGACGCUGAGGCUCGAAAGCGUGGGGAGCAAACAGGAUUAGAUACCCUGGUAGUCCACGCCGUAAACGAUGAGUGCUAGGUGUUGGAUCCUUUCCGGGAUUCAGUGCCGCAGCUAACGCAUUAAGCACUCCGCCUGGGGAGUACGACCGCAAGGUUG
RNAcentral lists this ribosomal RNA (550 nucleotides) under uncultured bacterium. Its description in RNAcentral is "bacterial SSU rRNA". It matches the Rfam family "Bacterial small subunit ribosomal RNA", at positions 355 to 896 of the family's 1533-position model. The record is from RNAcentral.